Osmerus eperlanus (European smelt) is the source of this 550-nucleotide long non-coding RNA. RefSeq lists it as uncharacterized. Lineage: Eukaryota; Metazoa; Chordata; Actinopteri; Osmeriformes; Osmeridae. The record is from RefSeq and is a predicted model, not a curated record. The transcript has 2 exons.
CACAGGUGUGGAGCGAUCAGAGUCAAAACAGGAAUGUGACGGACCGUUCUCUAUUUGACGAGAUGCGCAACGGUUCGAUGUUGCAGUAUCAUACGAAUAAGAACGCGCCAACCUCUUUGCACCAGGAAUGUUUCCUAAAUCGGAAAGAGUCAAAUUAGUGUUUGACGCAGGGGCUUUCGCCCAGUGUAAGAAAACCAUAUGGAGUGGUGAUUUUGGGAAGAUGUGGGAGAGACAUUGCUGCCCGUGUCGUUGGGUCAACGAAUCGAUCCUCGGGUAGAUGGCCGUGAAAGUUUAGGGUCCGAGGAUGACAAAAUGAGAAACGUUGCAACAGUGGCAUGGUGUGCCGACGUGGAUAUCCGAUAGCGCAAGCUUCUCUGUGGCGCGGAGUUUCCAGGAGCCCUGCGUGGCCAGAUUGCAGGCACGGAAUUGUGAAUGUUGGAAUACGGUCUGGUGUCAUGACCAUUUGCAGUAAAGACACAUUUUUACUCUUCUCCGUCCUCUGGCUUUUUUUGAAUUGCCAAUGCGCCAACAUUAUAGUGAUAGCCUACAG